RNAcentral lists this ribosomal RNA (497 nucleotides) under uncultured bacterium. Its description in RNAcentral is "partial 16S ribosomal RNA". It matches the Rfam family "Bacterial small subunit ribosomal RNA", at positions 28 to 507 of the family's 1533-position model. The record is from RNAcentral.
GAUGAACGCUGGCGGCGUGCCUAAUACAUGCAAGUCGAGCGAACAGAUGAGGAGCUUGCUCCUCUGACGUUAGCGGCGGACGGGUGAGUAACACGUGGAUAACCUACCUAUAAGACUGGGAUAACUUCGGGAAACCGGAGCUAAUACCGGAUAAUAUAUUGAACCGCAUGGUUCAAUAGUGAAAGACGGUGUUGAUGUGACAUAUAGAUGGAUCCGCGCCGCAUUAGCUAGUUGGUAAGGUAACGGCUUACCAAGGCAACGAUGCGUAGCCGACCUGAGAGGGUGAUCGGCCACACUGGAACUGAGACACGGUCCAGACUCCUACGAGAGGCAGCAGUAGGGAAUCUUCCGCAAUGGGCGAAAGCUUGACGGAGCAACGCCGCGUGAGUGAUGAAGGUCUUCGGAUCGUAAAACUCUGUUAUUAGGGAAGAACAAAUGUGUAAGUAACUAUGCACGUCUUGACGGUACCUAAUCAGAAAGCCACGGCUAACUACGUG